Molecule: ribosomal RNA, 497 nt
Filed under: uncultured bacterium
Lineage: Bacteria
Description: partial 16S ribosomal RNA
Rfam family: Bacterial small subunit ribosomal RNA
Source: RNAcentral
GGUGAACGCUGGCGGCGUGCCUAAUACAUGCAAGUCGAGCGGAAACAUGAGGAGAUUGUUCUUCUGAGGUUAGCGGCGGACGGGCGAGUAACACGUAGAUCACCUUCCUCUAAGACUGGGAUAAUAACGGGAGAAAGGAGAUACUAAUAGCUCAUAUAUCGAACCGCAUGGUUCAAUGGUGCUUGACGGUUUUGCUGACACUUAUAGAUGGUUCCGGGCCGCAUUAGCUAGUUGGUAAGGUAACGGCCUACCAAGGCAACGAUGCGUAGCCGAUCUGAGAGGGUGAUCAGCCACACUGGAACUGAGACACGGUCCAGACUCCUACGGGAGGCAGCAGUGGGGAAUCUUCCGCAAUGGGCGCAAGCCUGACGCAGCAACACCGCGUGGGUGAUGAAGGCCUUCGGGUUGUAAAGCUCUUUUGUUAGGAAAGAACAGCAGUAGGUUAAUCUAUGGCCGUCUUGACGGUACCCAAAGAAUAAGCCACGGCUAACUUCGUG